UUGAAGCCAAUUAAGCCGACUGUGCUCUUUUCCCCAUGGGGGCCCAGUGUGCAAUGGCUGCAAACAGCAGCCUCCUUGGUAGUGUAUGCAACCUGUUGCCUGUACAGGUAGCCCUAAGGGACCUUGGAGACAACU
Molecule: small nucleolar RNA, 135 nt
Filed under: Cervus hanglu yarkandensis (Yarkand deer)
Lineage: Eukaryota; Metazoa; Chordata; Mammalia; Artiodactyla; Cervidae
Description: Small nucleolar RNA SNORA70 (ENSCHYG00000024886.1)
Rfam family: Small nucleolar RNA SNORA70
About the family: snoRNA U70 seems to be exclusive to mammals and is a member of the H/ACA class of snoRNA which contain H (ANANNA) and ACA box motifs. H/ACA box snoRNAs are involved in the conversion of uridines to pseudouridines (5-ribosyluracil) a constituent of structural RNAs (transfer, ribosomal, small nuclear, and small nucleolar).
Source: Rfam by way of RNAcentral